RNAcentral lists this ribosomal RNA (474 nucleotides) under uncultured bacterium. RNAcentral's name for it is "partial 16S ribosomal RNA". It matches the Rfam family "Bacterial small subunit ribosomal RNA", at positions 28 to 507 of the family's 1533-position model. The record is from RNAcentral.
GAUGAACGCUGGCGGCGUGCCUAAUACAUGCAAGUAGAACGCUGAAGGAGGAGCUUGCUCUUCUGGAUGAGUUGCGAACGGGUGAGUAACGCGUAGGUAACCUGCCUGGUAGCGGGGGAUAACUAUUGGAAACGAUAGCUAAUACCGCAUGACAACAGUUAUUGCAUGAUAACUGUUUAAAAGGGGCAACUGCUCUACUACCAGAUGGACCUGCGUUGUAUUAGCUAGUUGGUGAGGUAACGGCUCACCAAGGCGACGAUGCAUAGCCGAACUGAGAGGGUGACACGGCCCAGAGUGAUACGGGAAGGAGCAGGACGGCAUCGGGGGCAAGGGGCGGAAGACUGAGCGAGAUAGGCCGAGUGCGUGAGGAGCGUUGUCGGGUCGGGAAGCACGGUUGUCAGGGAGGAACGCGCGUGCAGGUGGAAAGUUCAGAAUGUGACGGUACCUUAACAAGAAGCGACGGCUAACUACGUG